Molecule: ribosomal RNA, 318 nt
Filed under: uncultured bacterium
Lineage: Bacteria
Description: bacterial SSU rRNA
Rfam family: Bacterial small subunit ribosomal RNA
Source: RNAcentral
GAUGAACGCUAGCUACAGGCUUAACACAUGCAAGUCGAGGGGCAGCGGAUUGAAGCUUGCUUCAAUUGCCGGCGACCGGCGCACGGGUGAGUAACGCGUAUCCAACCUUCCGCUUACUCGGGGAGUAGCCUUUCGAAAGAAAGAAUUAAUACCCGAUCGGUAUCUUAAGCACGCAUGAGAUUAUGUAUUAAAGAUUUAUCGGUAAGCGAUGGGGAUGCGUUCCAUUAGGCAGUUGGCGGGGUAACGGCCCACCAAACCUACGAUGGAUAGGGGUUCUGAGAGGAAGGUCCCCCACAUUGGAACUGAGACACGGUCCAA